GACGAACGCUGGCGGCGUGCUUAACACAUGCAAGUCGAACGGUGAAGCGCCUUCCUUUUUGGUGGGUGUGGAUGAGUGGCGAACGGGUGAGUAACACGUGAGUAACCUGCCCCCUUCUUCUGGAUAACCGCAUGAAAGUGUGGCUAAUACGGGAUAUUCUGGGUCUGUCGCAUGAUGGGUCUGGGAAAGAUAUUGUUUCGGUGGGGGAUGGGCUCGCGGCCUAUCAGCUUGUUGGUGGGGUGAUGGCCUACCAAGGCGGUGGAGGGUAGCCGGCCUGAGAGGGUGGACGGUCACACUGGGACUGAGACACGGCCCAGACUCCUACGGGAGGCAGCAGUGGGGAAUAUUGCACAAUGGGCGCAAGCCUGAUGCAGCGACGCCGCGUGAGGGAUGGAGGCCUUCGGGUUGUGAACCUCUUUCGCCAGUGAAGCAGGCCUGCCUCGUUUGUGGGUGGGUUGACGGUAGCUGGAUAAGAAGCGCCGGCUAACUACGUG
RNAcentral lists this ribosomal RNA (494 nucleotides) under uncultured bacterium. Its description in RNAcentral is "partial 16S ribosomal RNA". It matches the Rfam family "Bacterial small subunit ribosomal RNA", at positions 28 to 507 of the family's 1533-position model. The record is from RNAcentral.